This 301-nucleotide ribosomal RNA is filed under the name uncultured bacterium. RNAcentral describes it as "partial 16S ribosomal RNA". It matches the Rfam family "Bacterial small subunit ribosomal RNA", at positions 509 to 807 of the family's 1533-position model. The record is from RNAcentral.
CAGUAGCCGCGGUAAUACAGAGGGUGCGAGCGUUAAUUGGAUUUACUGGGCGUAAAGCGUGCGUAGGCGGCUUCUUAAGUCGGAUGUGAAAUCCCUGAGCUUAACUUAGGAAUUGCAUUCGAUACUGGGAAGCUAGAGUAUGGGAGAGGAUGGUAGAAUUCCAGGUGUAGCGGUGAAAUGCGUAGAGAUCUGGAGGAAUACCGAUGGCGAAGGCAGCCAUCUGGCCUAAUACUGACGCUGAGGUACGAAAGCAUGGGGAGCAAACAGGAUUAGAUACCCCAGUAGUCCCUGUCUCUUAUAC